UAAGGAAUAUUGCUCAAUGGGAGAAAUCCUGAAGCAGCAACGCCGCGUGGAGGAUGAAGGGUCUAUGACUUGUAAACUCCUGUAAAGAAGGAAAAAAUUCCCAUUUGAUGGGAGAUGAUGGUACUUCUGGAGUAAGCCCCGGCUAACUACGUGCCAGCAGCCGCGGUAAUACGUAGGGGGCAAGCGUUGUCCGGAUUUACUGGGUGUAAAGGGUGCUCAGGCGGAUUUGUAAGUCAGAGGUGAAAUCUUACAGCUUAACUGUGAAACUGCCUUUGAUACUGCAAGCCUAGAGUAUGGAAGAGAGUGAUGGAAUAUCUGGGGUAGCAGUGAAAUGCGUAGAUAUCAGAUAGAACACCAAUGGCGAAGGCAGUCACUUGGUCCAUUACUGACGCUAAAGCACGAAAGCGUGGGUAGCAAACA
Molecule: ribosomal RNA, 420 nt
Filed under: uncultured bacterium
Lineage: Bacteria
Description: bacterial SSU rRNA
Rfam family: Bacterial small subunit ribosomal RNA
Source: RNAcentral